AGCCCAGCCCCAGAAUUCUCAGGUGUUUUCAUUUGGUGAUCAGCACCAAACACAGAGGAUUCACCAUGGAGUUUGGGCUGAGCUGGGUUUUCCUUGUUACUAUUCUAAAAGGUGUCCAGUGUGAGGUGCAGCUUGUGGAGUCAGGGGGAGGCUUGGCAAAGCCUGGGGGUUCCCUGAGACUCACCUGUGCGGCCUCUGGAUUCACCUUCAGUGACUACUGGAUGAGCUGGGUCCGCCAGGCUCCAGGGAAGGGGUUGGAGUGGGUUGGAGAAAUUAAUCCUGAUGGGGGUAGAACAAACUACAAAGACUCCGUGAAAGGCCGAUUCGCCAUCUCCAGAGACAACGCCAAGAACACACUUUAUCUGCAAAUGAACAGCCUUAAAACCGAGGACACAGCCGUCUAUUACUGUACUAGAGACACAGUGAGUGGAGGUCAUUGUGAGCCCAGACACGAACCUUCCUGCAUGGGGGACAUGGGGCCACCAGGGGGCGCCCGGAACCCACAGAGGACAGGAGAGUUUCCAGGAGCAUGUGCAGGGGGGAGGUUUCCUGUCUCAGCUGCAGGUCGACUUGUUUUUGAGGUUGCAAUAUUUUAA
This is a non-coding RNA of Callithrix jacchus (white-tufted-ear marmoset), 596 nucleotides long. NCBI's taxonomy places the organism in Eukaryota, Metazoa, Chordata, Mammalia, Primates, Cebidae. The record is from the annotation of a RefSeq genome assembly.